Molecule: ribosomal RNA, 274 nt
Filed under: uncultured bacterium
Lineage: Bacteria
Description: partial 16S ribosomal RNA
Rfam family: Bacterial small subunit ribosomal RNA
Source: RNAcentral
AUACGGAGGGUCCAAGCGUUAUCCGGAUUCAUUGGGUUUAAAGGGUCCGCAGGCGGGAAAAUAAGUCAGUGGUGAAAGCCUACAGCUCAACUGUAGAACUGCCAUUGAUACUGUUUUUCUUGAGUAUAGAUGAAGUGGGCGGAAUAUAUCAUGUAGCGGUGAAAUGCAUAGAUAUGAUAUAGAACACCGAUUGCGAAGGCAGCUCACUAAACUAUUACUGACGCUCAGGGACGAAAGCGUGGGGAGCGAACAGGAGUAGAUACACUAGUAGUCC